RNAcentral lists this non-coding RNA (88 nucleotides) under Pseudomonas helleri. The record is from RNAcentral. Lineage: Bacteria; Pseudomonadati; Pseudomonadota; Gammaproteobacteria; Pseudomonadales; Pseudomonadaceae.
GUCACUGCAAAAUCAGUGACAGGGCGUAGGAACCCUUUUUUACCCUCGGCGCGCAAGUGUCCACCUUUCUGAUUGCGGCACUUUUUUU